RNAcentral lists this ribosomal RNA (403 nucleotides) under Verrucomicrobiota bacterium. RNAcentral's name for it is "Verrucomicrobia bacterium partial 16S ribosomal RNA". It matches the Rfam family "Bacterial small subunit ribosomal RNA", at positions 355 to 776 of the family's 1533-position model. The record is from RNAcentral. Lineage: Bacteria; Pseudomonadati; Verrucomicrobiota.
UGGGGAAUAUUGCACAAUGGGGGAAACCCUGAUGCAGCGACGCCGCGUGAGCGAAGAAGGUUUUCGAAUCGUAAAGCUCUGUCCUAUGAGAAGAUAAUGACGGUAUCAUAGGAGGAAGCCCCGGCUAAAUACGUGCCAGCAGCCGCGGUAAUACGUAUGGGGCGAGCGUUGUCCGGAAUUAUUGGGCGUAAAGGGUACGUAGGCGGUCUAUUAAGUCAGGUGUGAAAGCGUGAGGCUUAACCUCAUUAAGCACUUGAAACUGAUAGACUUGAGUGAAGGAGAGGAAAGUGGAAUUCCUAGUGUAGCGGUGAAAUGCGUAGAUAUUAAAAAGAAUACCGGUGGCGAAGGCGACUUACUGGGCUCAUUCUGACGCUGAGGAACGAAAGCGUGGGUAGCAAACAGG